Molecule: ribosomal RNA, 473 nt
Filed under: uncultured Syntrophorhabdus sp.
Lineage: Bacteria; Pseudomonadati; Thermodesulfobacteriota; Syntrophorhabdia; Syntrophorhabdales; Syntrophorhabdaceae
Description: bacterial SSU rRNA
Rfam family: Bacterial small subunit ribosomal RNA
Source: RNAcentral
GACGGGGCCGCACAAGCGGUGGAGCAUGUGGUUAAUUCGACGCAAACGCGAAAACCUUUAACCUGGGCUUGACAUGGAGAGAAUCUCCUGGAAACAGGAGAGUGCCUCGCAAGAGGAGCUCUCACACAGGUGCUGCAUGGCUGUCGUCAGCUCAUGCCGUGAGGUGUUGGGUUAAGUCCCGCAACGAGCGCAACCCCCAUCCCCAGUUGCCAUCAUUAAGUUGGGCACUCUGAGGAAACUGCCCGGGUUAACCGGGAGGAAGGCGGGGAUGACGUCAAGUCCUCAUGGCCCUUAUGUCCAGGGCUACACACGUGCUACAAUGGGCGGUACAAAGGGUCGCAAACCCGUAAGGGGGAGCUAAUCCACCAAAAGCCGUCCUCAGUUCGGAUUGGGGUCUGCAACUCGACCUCAUGAAGCUGGAAUCGCUAGUAAUCGCGGAUCAGCAUGCCGCGGUGAAUACGCUCCCGGGCCUU